GCCCACCGGCGCACGAUUCCUCCACCGCUCCGGUGCGCCGGACUUGAGUUUAAUGCCCUUCUUGUGGAUUUUCUUACCGUCGGUGGCGUUGACCUCCACCGGAGCGCUCACCGAGAUCUUCUCGCGCUUUGUAUUCCAAAACAAGAUCUUGAACCUCACCUUUGUCUGCAGGUCCAUCCUGAACCACACCGUCCCGUUCGUCCGCGCCUCCGGCCACGGCACCGACGGCGUCUGCACCAACAUCCUCCGGCGGGCGUUCUUCUUAUGCCCCUGGUAAAACGCAGGCACUGUCAGAUUGCCCACCGAAAAGUUCGGGGUGAAGCCAUAGUAAAAG
Molecule: long non-coding RNA, 334 nt
Filed under: Vitis vinifera (wine grape)
Lineage: Eukaryota; Viridiplantae; Streptophyta; Magnoliopsida; Vitales; Vitaceae
Description: long non-coding RNA (VVIN_LNC006473)
Source: RNAcentral